UAAAAUUUAAAGUUAUUAUACUAAAAUAGUAAAUAAUUAUUUAUUGAAACUUAAAUAAUUUGGCGGUAUUUUAGUUCAUUUAGAGGAAUCUGUUUAAUAAUUGAUAUUCCACGAUUAAAUUUACUUAAUUUAUAAUUUUGUAUAUCGUUGUUAUAAAAAUAUUUUUUAAUAAAAUUAAUAUUUAAAAAUUAUUAUAUAAAUUUAAAUCAGAUCAAGAUGCAGAUUAUAAUUAAGAAUAUAAUGGAUUACAAUAAAAUUAUUUAAAUGAAUAUUAAUUUGUAAAAAAUAAUUGAAAGUGGAUUUAAAUGUAAUUUUAUUUAUUUUAAUAAAAUGAUUAAAAAUUAAAAUAUGU
This 352-nucleotide ribosomal RNA is filed under the name Acrapex iringa. RNAcentral's name for it is "partial 12S ribosomal RNA". Lineage: Eukaryota; Metazoa; Arthropoda; Insecta; Lepidoptera; Noctuidae. The record is from RNAcentral.